CCUACUGGAGGCAUCAUUGAGGCAUCUUGGUCAAUGGCCGGAAGGCUGAACCAGCCAAGUCGCGUGAGGGCCUACUUCCCUAUGUGUUGUCCCCCUCUUUUCUCCUUUCCUCCUCAAUGCUACGUGUAGCAUGAUGCCUGUACCUUAUGAAUAAGCAUCGGCUAACUCCGUGCCAGCAGCCGCGGUAAUACGGAGGAUGCGAGCGUUAUCCGGAUUUAUUGGGUUUAAAGGGUGCGUAGGCGGUUUUUUAAGUUAGUGGUUAAACGUCGGGGCUUCACCUUGAUUUGCCAUUAAUACUGUAAGACUCGAGUUCAGACGAGGUAGGCGGAAUAAGUUAAGUAGCGGUGAAAUGCUUAGAUAUAACUUAGAACUCCGAUAGCGAAGGCAGCUUACCAGACUGCGACUGACGCUGAAGCACGAGAGCGUGGGUAGCGAACAGGAUUAGAUACCCGUGUAGUC
RNAcentral lists this ribosomal RNA (459 nucleotides) under uncultured bacterium. RNAcentral describes it as "partial 16S ribosomal RNA". It matches the Rfam family "Bacterial small subunit ribosomal RNA", at positions 338 to 795 of the family's 1533-position model. The record is from RNAcentral.